UACGUAGGCAGCGAGCGUUGUUCGGAGUUACUGGGCGUAAAGGGUGUGUAGGCGGUUCUUUAAGUUUGGUGUGAAAUCUCCCGGCUUAACCGGGAGGGUGCGCCGAAUACUGAGGGACUAGAGUACGGGAGAGGAAAGUGGAAUUCCUGGUGUAGCGGUGAAAUGCGUAGAUAUCAGGAGGAACACCGGUGGUGUAGACGGCUUUCUGGACCGUAACUGACGCUGAGACACGAAAGCGUGGGUAGCAAACAGG
RNAcentral lists this ribosomal RNA (253 nucleotides) under uncultured bacterium. RNAcentral describes it as "partial 16S ribosomal RNA". It matches the Rfam family "Bacterial small subunit ribosomal RNA", at positions 524 to 776 of the family's 1533-position model. The record is from RNAcentral.